Molecule: ribosomal RNA, 497 nt
Filed under: uncultured bacterium
Lineage: Bacteria
Description: partial 16S ribosomal RNA
Rfam family: Bacterial small subunit ribosomal RNA
Source: RNAcentral
GAUGAACGCUGGCGGCGUGCCUAAUACAUGCAAGUCGAGCGAACAGACGAGGAGCUUGCUCCUCUGACGUUAGCGGCGGACGGGUGAGUAACACGUGGAUAACCUACCUAUAAGACUGGGAUAACUUCGGGAAACCGGCGCUAAUACCGGAUAAUAUAUUGAACCGCAUGGUUCAAUAGUGAAAGACGGUUUUGCUGUCACUUAUAGAUGGAUCCGCGCCGCAUUAGCUAGUUGGUAAGGUAACGGCCUACCAAGGCGACGAUGCGUAGACGACCGGAGAGGGGGAUCGGCGACCCUGGAACGUGGACAGGGACCAUAGUACUGAGGGAGGGAGCAGUAGGGAAUCGGACGCAAUAGGGGAAAGCAUGACGGAGCAAGGGGGCGUGAGUGAUGGAGGUGUUCGGAGCGGAAAACUGUGUUAUUAGGGGAGAACAAAUGUGGAAGUAACUAUGCAGGGCGUGACGGUAACGAAUCAGGAAGCCACGGCUAACUACGUG